CCUACGGGAGGCAGCAGUGAGGAAUAUUGGUCAAUGGACGCAAGUCUGAACCAGCCAUGCCGCGUGCAGGAAGACGGCUCUAUGAGUUGUAAACUGCUUUUGUCAGGGAGCAAUUGGCGCUACGUGUAGCGUUAUCGAGAGUACCUGAAGAAAAAGCAUCGGCUAACUCCGUGCCAGCAGCCGCGGUAAUACGGAGGAUGCGAGCGUUAUCCGGAUUUAUUGGGUUUAAGGGGUGCGUAGGCGGAAUGCCAAGUCAGCGGUAAAAUCGCGGGGCUCAACCUCGCUCAGCCGUUGAAACUGGCGUGCUUGAGUGGGCGAGAAGUAUGCGGAAUGCGUGGUGUAGCGGUGAAAUGCAUAGAUAUCACGCAGAACUCCGAUUGCGAAGGCAGCAUACCGGCGCCCAACUGACGCUGAAGCACGAAAGCGUGGGUAUCGAACAGGAUUAGAUACCCGAGUAGUC
Molecule: ribosomal RNA, 460 nt
Filed under: uncultured bacterium
Lineage: Bacteria
Description: partial 16S ribosomal RNA
Rfam family: Bacterial small subunit ribosomal RNA
Source: RNAcentral